This 3265-nucleotide long non-coding RNA is filed under the name Balaenoptera musculus (blue whale). Its description in RNAcentral is "lncRNA (ENSBMSG00010009570.1)". Lineage: Eukaryota; Metazoa; Chordata; Mammalia; Artiodactyla; Balaenopteridae. The record is from RNAcentral.
GGAAACUUCGGUGAAAUCGAAACUACUGGGGAAAGGGAGGGCCCCUGAGAGAGUCCAGGCACCUGGACCACAGCUGCCUCAUCCCCACCAUGAGCCGCACAUCCCAACCCUUCUUCAACGGUGCCCACAGCGGGGUCCUCCCAAGCUAUGAGAUGAUCAAGGAGGAGCACGAGGUGGCCGUGCUGGGGGCUCCCCAGAGCCAGGCCCCCGUGACCACCACGGUGAUCAACAUCCGCAGCGAGACCUCAGUGCCCGACCACAUCGUCUGGUCCCUGUUCAACACGAUCUUCAUGAACUGGUGCUGCCUGGGCUUCGUGGCAUUCGCCUACUCCGUGAAGUCUAGGGACCGGAAGAUGGUGGGCGACGUCGUUGGGGCCCAGAGCUAUGCCUCCACCGCCAAGUGCCUGAACAUCUGGGCCCUGGUCCUGGGCAUCUUUCUGACUAUUGGAUCGAUCGUUCUUCUGGUGUUUGUUUACCUGAAAGCCUACCAGAUGGCUUUACAGGUGGCGAAUAAUGGAGGCUACUAGCCGCUGGACACGGAGGCAACCCAGUUCCCCCACCGUCCACGGCCGGCCCUGCACCUGGGGCUCUGGGCCCGCCCCCUCCCCCCACCCCUUUAUACAGCAGUUUAUGGAGACAGAGCUGUCGACAGCUGAAUUCAAUAAAGUGCACUCGUCUGUGAAGGUGCUGUGAUGUCCCCGGGGAGGGGACACUGCUGUGAGUCCCCGGUGGCCUCGGGGAAGCACAGAGCGCUCCGCUGUGGGCUGACAGCAGAAGCCCAGAGCAGAGCUGGUGACCCCGCCCCGGUCGACAGAAACCCCCAGAGGAAAGACCACUCCCUCCCACGCAAACGUGGCCGCCCUGCUGGGUGGCAGCGUCUCACAGACACUGGGGACCCGAGCCUGGGCUGCACACGGGGAGGUGGGGACCCGCCUCAGCCCAACGCAGGGAGAGACACCCCAGGCAGGCAGGUAUUCCUGUCUCUGAGCCCCAGAGGGAGAGGGCGCGGGGGACGCACCCCGCCGGCUGACCCACCGCGCCCUGCACAGUAUCCCAGGUGUGCUGUGCGUCACCCAGGAGAGGCUGGAGGAGUCCAGGCAGCCCGAGGCUGGUGCUGGGGCAGUGACCCCUUCCCCACAGGCCCCUCGGGGAUCCAGGCUCUUCUGGGCUCCCUCACUGGGCUGAGGUCCAGUCCUGUCCGGCUCUCAUUGAAUUUCACAGCACUCUUCACGGUGGAUUUCCUUCCGUCCUGGCACCUAGGACUAUAGACACCAAACCCUCACAAGGCCCUACCUCGGGGGCUAUGUAGGUUGGGGUCCUCCCUGGAGGACGGUGACUCAGACGAGGUCGCCCGCUCUCUCUUGGGUCCCACAUGUGAGCUCGGCAGGCUCGGCCCCAGGGAAGCUGGGUCCCGGAGGAGGGGAGGCUGGCGGACCUGCCUCUCUGAGUCCAGGAAGGACACUCUCCCAGGCAGGGGGCGGGGGGACAGAUGUGUGACCCCAACCCCCCACACCCCCGACCCCGGCUGGCCGACUAGGCGCGUCCCACGUUCCCCUGUCGGGCGGACAGCGGUCACGAAGGGUGGUGGCACUGAGUGUAACCCCGUCACUCUUCACGGAUUCGGGGUGAGGGUCGUGCUAGGUGGGAGACCAGCUGGUGCAGGCAGCCAAGAUCCCGUGGUCUGGAGCUUCCGAAAAUUCACAGGAGGCCCGAGGCAUCAAGCAGGGGACCUGAGGGUCCUUCGAAGGUCCUGGGCACGGACUGCUGGGUCAUGAGCAGCCUAGUCCUCGGAGCCACCCCAGCUCUGGUUCCGAUGUGGGCGGCCACAGUGUCCUGGGUCACCUGUGGGUGGGCGGUGCUGGUUGGGGUGGGUGACCUGGGCUGGGCGGAGAGCGUCCAGGGAGCUGAGAGGAUGCAGAGCUGGGAGGACACAGAGCUGGGAGGACACAGACCUGGGAGGACACAGACCUGGGAGGGUGUGAUCUGGGAGGACAAAGACCGGGGGGGACCAGAGCUGGGAGGACACAGUGGGAAGACACAGAACUGGGACGUCAGAGCCCUGGGCAGGGCCGCACAGGUGGGCCGGCAGCAAGGGUGAGAGGUGUUUCUGGUCCUUUCUCCCAGUAGCCCUCAGCAGAGAAGUCUCUGUUAUCGCUUUGCCUGGAGUCUGGCCUGGAGGAAGUCUGACGUUAGGAUUCCUGAAGAUGCCCUGCCCGGGUUUGGUCCUGAGGGAGUGAGGGCAGAGCAGGACAGAUGUGCUCCUGGUGGGGACGAACAUCUCUCCUGGCCUCGCCCCUGGCCCCCUUCCUGAGCGCUGCUGGUCCGGGAAGCUUCCACCUGCCCAGCCCACCCAGCAGGGGUCUGAGUCGCUGGGCAGCGCCCCCUGCCUGACUCCAGGGCUUUACUGGCUGCUGGCCCCUCCUCACCUUGGAGUCAGUCCUUCCCAAUCCAGAGGGGUAGGUCUGCCAGCCUCCCCUCCUCCAGGACUUCCUUGGGGCUGUCCCCUCCCUGCUCACGUGUGACAGACCCCGGGGGAGAGGGGCUCCCUCAUGGCCACGCUGGGACCCCAGCCCCUCGGCCAUCUCCUGGAGCCAGGGGACUGCAGCUGGGGACAGAUAAAGGGGCGUGGGUGCGGGUCAGGAGGGGAUCGACAGCUGGGGUCGGGUGUCAGGGGACGAAGGGGAGGCUAGGGCCACCCCACCUCACACCGCACCUGCCCAGCUGGUUGUGGGCAGGGUCUGCCCUGGGGCACCCCAAGUGCCCACACAUCUGGAGGCCUGACAGAACCAGGGAUGGGGUCUGAUUUCCAGGGCAGGGCAGGGGUUUCUCCUCCUCCUGGGGGCUGUCUCUGCAGCGGUGGCCCGUGCACUCUUGUAGCCUUCCUGAGCUGACGGGGUCCUACGAACAGCAAAGCGGAGGCACGUGUCAAAGGGUCUGAAAGGGAGCAGGGGAGCCACUGCGGACCUGGAAUUUGCACACGUCCUGGCCGCCCUGGGACCACCUGGAACCUGUUGUCUUUGCUCCCUGGAAACCUCAGUUUAGCAGCCAAUCAGCUGCCGACAUGUGACCCAAUGCCUGCUAGCACUGAUCCCGCUUUGUAAAACAACCCCUGUAACUUCUCUGGAAUGUCUUUGUUGUGUUUAGAACCCCCCAGCACUUGUACUUUCCUCGCAGCACGUUUGACCUGCUACUGGAAUCUGCACUUCUCUGAUUGCAAAUCCUAAAACUCCAAAUAAACUCUUUUCUUAUUUGCGGGCUUCCGAGC